AUGAAGGAAUGGGACAUCAGGAGUCCAGCAAUGACCGGUUAUUGCAAUGCAGUAAGAAAGCUAGAGAAGAAGUUUGAGGGGUUAGAGCUCCACCACAUACCUCGAAUCAAGAAUCAAGCUGCUGAUGAUCUGGCGAAGAUAGGUUCCACUCAAAAGCCUAUUACCAGUAAUGUGUUCUUCGAGCAUCUCCACACCCCGUCAGUACAAGAAGAUCCCUUCAAGUAA
Molecule: ribosomal RNA, 225 nt
Filed under: Triticum aestivum (bread wheat)
Lineage: Eukaryota; Viridiplantae; Streptophyta; Magnoliopsida; Poales; Poaceae
Description: partial small subunit ribosomal RNA
Source: RNAcentral